RNAcentral lists this ribosomal RNA (445 nucleotides) under uncultured bacterium. RNAcentral's name for it is "SSU rRNA". It matches the Rfam family "Bacterial small subunit ribosomal RNA", at positions 26 to 518 of the family's 1533-position model. The record is from RNAcentral.
AGAGCGAACGCUGGCGGCAGGCCUAAUACAUGCAAGUCGAACGAGCCCUUCGGGGUUAGUGGCGGACGGGUGAGUAACACGUGGGAACGUGCCUUUUGGUUCGGAACAACUCAGGGAAACUUGAGCUAAUACCGAAUGUGCCCUUCGGGGGAAAGAUUUAUCGCCAUUAGAGCGGCCCGCGUCUGAUUAGCUAGUUGGUGAGGUAAAGGCCCACCAAGGCUACGAUCAGUAGCUGGUCUGAGAGGAUGAUCAGCCACACUGGGACUGAGACACGGCCCAGACUCCUACGGGAGGCAGCAGUAGGGAAUCUUGCGCAAUGGGCGAAAGCCUGACGCAGCCAUGCCGCGUGAAUGAUGAAGGUCUUAGGAUUGUAAAAUUCUUUCAGCGGGGACGAUAAUGACGGUACCCGCAGAAGAAGCCCGGCUAACUUCGCGCCAGCAGCCGC